This 426-nucleotide ribosomal RNA is filed under the name Candidatus Udaeobacter sp. Its description in RNAcentral is "partial 16S ribosomal RNA". It matches the Rfam family "Bacterial small subunit ribosomal RNA", at positions 355 to 774 of the family's 1533-position model. Lineage: Bacteria; Pseudomonadati; Verrucomicrobiota; Spartobacteria; Chthoniobacterales; Chthoniobacteraceae. The record is from RNAcentral. RNAcentral also lists the same sequence under 2 other names.
UCGAGAAUUUUUGACAAUGGGGGAAACCCUGAUCGAGCGACGCCGCGUGGAGGAUGAAGGUCUUCGGAUUGUAAACUCCUGUCAUUGGGGAACAAGGUGCAUACGUUAACUGCGUGUGUAUUGAUAGUACCCGAAGAGGAAGGGACGGCUAACUCUGUGCCAGCAGCCGCGGUAAUACAGAGGUCCCAAGCGUUGUUCGGAUUCAUUGGGCGUAAAGGGUGCGUAGGCGGCGCGGUAAGUCGGGUGUGAAAUCUCGGAGCUUAACUCCGAAACUGCAUUCGAUACUGCCGUGCUUGAGGACUGGAGAGGAGACUGGAAUUUACGGUGUAGCGGUGAAAUGCGUAGAUAUCGUAAGGAAGACCAGUGGCGAAGGCGGGUCUCUGGACAGUUCCUGACGCUGAGGCACGAAGGCCAGGGGAGCAAACG